RNAcentral lists this ribosomal RNA (550 nucleotides) under uncultured Acidobacteriota bacterium. Its description in RNAcentral is "bacterial SSU rRNA". It matches the Rfam family "Bacterial small subunit ribosomal RNA", at positions 355 to 897 of the family's 1533-position model. The record is from RNAcentral. Lineage: Bacteria; Pseudomonadati; Acidobacteriota.
UCGGGAAUUUUGGGCAAUGGGCGAAAGCCUGGCCCAGCAACGCCGCGUGAAGGAUGAAAUCCCUCGGGAUGUAAACUUCGCAAGAACGGGAAGAAUAAGUAGGGAACAAUACCCCCUAUGAUGACGGUACCGUUUGUAAGCUCCGGCUAACUCCGUGCCAGCAGCCGCGGUAAUACGGGGGGAGCAAGCGUUGUUCGGAUUUACUGGGCGUAAAGGGCGCGUAGGCGGCCUCCGCAGGUCAAUUGUGAAAUCUCCGGGCUUAACUCGGAAAGGUCAACUGAUACUGCGGGGCUAGAGUGCGGAAGGGGCAACUGGAAUUCUUGGUGUAGCGGUGAAAUGCGUAGAUAUCAAGAGGAACACCUGCGGCGAAGGCGGGUUGCUGGGCCGACACUGACGCUGAGGCGCGAAAGCUAGGGGAGCGAACGGGAUUAGAUACCCCGGUAGUCCUAGCCUUAAACGAUGAACGCUUGGUGUCUGGGGUUAUAUAGUCCCCGGGUGCCGUCGCUAACGCUUUAAGCAUUCCGCCUGGGGAGUACGGUCGCAAGACUGA